GUGUCAGCAGCCGCGGUAAGACAGGGGGCUCGAGCGUUAAUCGGAAUCAUUGGGCUUAAAGGGUGCGUAGGCGGGUUGCUAAGUGUUCUGUGAAAUCCCCCGGCUCAACCGGGGAAUCGCAGGGCAUACUGGCAGCCUUGAGGCAUGUAGGGGCGGACGGAACUGUAGGUGGAGCGGUGAAAUGCGUAGAUAUCUACAGGAACGCCGAUGGUGAAGACGGUCCGCUGGGCAUGUCCUGACGCUGAGGCACGAAAGCGUGGGGAGCAAACAGGAUUAGAAACCCCCGUAGUCC
This 292-nucleotide ribosomal RNA is filed under the name uncultured bacterium. RNAcentral's name for it is "partial 16S ribosomal RNA". It matches the Rfam family "Bacterial small subunit ribosomal RNA", at positions 505 to 796 of the family's 1533-position model. The record is from RNAcentral.